ACAACUUCGCUUUUCUAUUUAAAGUUACUAAAUUCUACUCAUUUAUCCUGCCUUAAGAACAUUAAUUCACCUAAGUAAUGUACUGGACUGCAGAGU
Molecule: non-coding RNA, 96 nt
Organism: Tinamus guttatus (white-throated tinamou)
Lineage: Eukaryota; Metazoa; Chordata; Aves; Tinamiformes; Tinamidae
Source: RefSeq, a predicted model, not a curated record